UGGGGAAUUUUGGACAAUGGGCGCAAGCCUGAUCCAGCCAUGCCGCGUGCAGGAUGAAGGCCUUCGGGUUGUAAACUGCUUUUGUACGGAACGAAAAGACUCUGGUUAAUACCUGGGGUCCAUGACGGCACCGUAAGAAUAAGCACCGGCUAACUACGUGCCAGCAGCCGCGGUAAUACGUAGGGUGCGCGCGUUAAUCGCAAUUACUGGGCGUAAAGCGUGCGCAGGCGGUUAUGUAAGACAGAUGUGAUAUCCCCGGGCUCAACCUGGGAACUGCACUUGUGACUGCAUAGCUAGAGUACGGCAGAGGGGGAUGGAAUUCCACGGGUAGCAGUGAAAUGCGUAGGUAUGCGCGGGACCACCGAUGGCGAAGGCAAUCCCCUGAGCCUGUACUGACGCUCAUGAACGAAACCGUGGGGGGCAAACA
RNAcentral lists this ribosomal RNA (427 nucleotides) under uncultured bacterium. RNAcentral describes it as "bacterial SSU rRNA". It matches the Rfam family "Bacterial small subunit ribosomal RNA", at positions 355 to 774 of the family's 1533-position model. The record is from RNAcentral.